This is a long non-coding RNA of Mytilus californianus (California mussel), 782 nucleotides long. RefSeq lists it as uncharacterized. The transcript is spliced from 2 exons. The record is from RefSeq and is a predicted model, not a curated record. NCBI's taxonomy places the organism in Eukaryota, Metazoa, Mollusca, Bivalvia, Mytilida, Mytilidae.
UUCUACCAAAAUCAUAUUCAUGAAUACUUUAGAUUGAAAAGUUUUGACAAACGAGCAAUAAAUGACAUAAAAUUAAUACAAGGUAUAUGAAAUGUCAUGAAAAUGAAUACUAAAAAUGAUAAUGCGAACAUCUAUUAUUCAAUCGCAUGUUACUUCUUGCUGAAGGCCAUCUUUAUUGUUUAUUUGUUGCACUGUGUGUGUCUUCAAGGCCAUCUUGUAAAUUCAUUACGAAUUAUUAAUCUUGCUCAGCCGGUGGUUGACCGGUUAUAAGUGACAUUUUCUGACUAACAUUAGGUGGGAAUAUUUAUUUAUGGACAAGCUGGCCAUACCUGUUUUCUGCACACGGCGCUAAGUACUUUUCCGGUUAUCAUGGCGGGACAAUUUGUAUUCGUUAAUGUCUUUGCACACGGUAUUUUGGAUUUACACACGUGGUGUCUGGUUGGAUUUUAUAUUAAGAGUGUUUUCGGGCUUGGUUUACAAUUCUUACCGAAACUCCAAAAAGAGAAAGACACUAAUAUCUAACAGUGCAGUUUUAAUCAGUCACCACUUGAAAAUGUCUUCAGCUGAAAAAACAUGUCGUCUAACAACAGAAAACAAAUGUGGAUGUGGAGACAACUGUCAGUGUGGAGAUAGCUGUGCUUGCCUUAAGAUGAAAGGAUCCUGUAGUUGUUCAGCAGGAGGAGAAUGUUCAUGUGGAGAUUCCUGCGCAUGUACCACUGCAUGUGGAUGUGGAAAAUGUGGGAAAUCAAAAACCUCUUAGCAGUGAAGGGAAAUCUUUUUAG